Molecule: long non-coding RNA, 405 nt
Organism: Numida meleagris (helmeted guineafowl)
Lineage: Eukaryota; Metazoa; Chordata; Aves; Galliformes; Numididae
Exons: 3
Source: RefSeq, a predicted model, not a curated record
UGUGUAAUUCAAAGAACCUAGCAGAGCUUUAUUCAGCAGUAGUGGAGGCAGCAUCAAUUAAAGACAUUUUAAAGCCAUCUUCCUUCCCCAGGUAAUCCACGCAAGGAUUGUGCUCCCAUGUGCAGUAAUCACCCUGCACAAUUUGGCAGCAGUGUUAUCGGCACUGACCGGUGUCUGGAGUGAAACAAGUAAGACUUUAGGAGGUGACUUCCAUUUUGUGACUGCAGCACUUCAGCAUGUGGCUGCCUUCAUUUACUGGAGUAUGCUGGCCAAGACUGCCUUGUUUGUGGAUUACCCAGCCAAAGGCACAGCCCUGACAUCAGAAAAGUCCCUCUGGUGAAGCUCAAGGGGCUGUUUUGUUGGGAAGUCGGCUGUUUUAAAACAACGAGCAAGAAUUCGCUAUGA